AUUUAUACUGGUUUAAACUGGUCCAUACUGGUUUUUCAGGAGCCCGCCCCCCUCCCCAAGGGUUGGAGCCCCAAGGCUGAGGUGGAAUAUCAGCACCCGCUGGGACCCGGCGGAAAAAAGGACACGACGGUGCCGCUGCCCCCCCAGUACAGCCCCCGCUACGUCGAGGCCGCCUGGUACCAAUGGUGGGAGAGGGAGGGGUUCUUCAAACCCUCUGAGCAGGAUUUUGGGGAUUCCCCGGUGCUGAGCCUGGUGCUGCCCCCCCCCAACGUCACCGGGUCCCUUCACCUGGGCCACGCCCUGACGGUGACACUGCAGGACAUCCUGGUCAGAUGGUCAGGAUUUGGGAAU
Long non-coding RNA from Malurus melanocephalus (red-backed fairy wren), 351 nucleotides. RefSeq lists it as uncharacterized. The record is from RefSeq and is a predicted model, not a curated record. Lineage: Eukaryota; Metazoa; Chordata; Aves; Passeriformes; Maluridae. The transcript is spliced from 3 exons.